This is a small nucleolar RNA of Carassius gibelio (silver crucian carp), 211 nucleotides long. RefSeq annotates it as small nucleolar RNA U3. NCBI's taxonomy places the organism in Eukaryota, Metazoa, Chordata, Actinopteri, Cypriniformes, Cyprinidae. The transcript has a single exon. The record is from RefSeq and is a predicted model, not a curated record.
AAGACUAUAUUUUCAGGGAUCAUUUCUAUAGUUGUUCACUUGGAAUUGUGUUUUGAAAGUGUUUGUUUCCCAACUCUCGAUGAUGAGCUGUAAUACUCUUUUCUGAGAGCGAAUUGAGGAUAGAACUAUGACUUUGUUCACAAGUUUUGUCAUUGAUGAGUGUUCAUAUUGCUUUUGGCAAUAUUGAAGAAAGGAGUAUGACCUGAGUGGU